GUGCUCACUUUGACAGCACAUAUACUAAAAUUGAAACAAUACAGAGAGGAUUAACAUGGCCCCUGCACAAGGAUGACAUGCAAAUUCGUGAAGCAUUCCUUUUUUUU
This is a small nuclear RNA of Meriones unguiculatus (Mongolian gerbil), 107 nucleotides long. NCBI's taxonomy places the organism in Eukaryota, Metazoa, Chordata, Mammalia, Rodentia, Muridae. The record is from Ensembl.